Molecule: ribosomal RNA, 1233 nt
Filed under: Escherichia coli
Lineage: Bacteria; Pseudomonadati; Pseudomonadota; Gammaproteobacteria; Enterobacterales; Enterobacteriaceae
Description: partial 23S ribosomal RNA
Rfam family: Bacterial large subunit ribosomal RNA
Source: RNAcentral
GGGACACGUGGUAUCCUGUCUGAAUAUGGGGGGACCAUCCUCCAAGGCUAAAUACUCCUGACUGACCGAUAGUGAACCAGUACCGUGAGGGAAAGGCGAAAAGAACCCCGGCGAGGGGAGUGAAAAAGAACCUGAAACCGUGUACGUACAAGCAGUGGGAGCACGCUUAGGCGUGUGACUGCGUACCUUUUGUAUAAUGGGUCAGCGACUUAUAUUCUGUAGCAAGGUUAACCGAAUAGGGGAGCCGAAGGGAAACCGAGUCUUAACUGGGCGUUAAGUUGCAGGGUAUAGACCCGAAACCCGGUGAUCUAGCCAUGGGCAGGUUGAAGGUUGGGUAACACUAACUGGAGGACCGAACCGACUAAUGUUGAAAAAUUAGCGGAUGACUUGUGGCUGGGGGUGAAAGGCCAAUCAAACCGGGAGAUAGCUGGUUCUCCCCGAAAGCUAUUUAGGUAGCGCCUCGUGAAUUCAUCUCCGGGGGUAGAGCACUGUUUCGGCAAGGGGGUCAUCCCGACUUACCAACCCGAUGCAAACUGCGAAUACCGGAGAAUGUUAUCACGGGAGACACACGGCGGGUGCUAACGUCCGUCGUGAAGAGGGAAACAACCCAGACCGCCAGCUAAGGUCCCAAAGUCAUGGUUAAGUGGGAAACGAUGUGGGAAGGCCCAGACAGCCAGGAUGUUGGCUUAGAAGCAGCCAUCAUUUAAAGAAAGCGUAAUAGCUCACUGGUCGAGUCGGCCUGCGCGGAAGAUGUAACGGGGCUAAACCAUGCACCGAAGCUGCGGCAGCGACGCUUAUGCGUUGUUGGGUAGGGGAGCGUUCUGUAAGCCUGCGAAGGUGUGCUGUGAGGCAUGCUGGAGGUAUCAGAAGUGCGAAUGCUGACAUAAGUAACGAUAAAGCGGGUGAAAAGCCCGCUCGCCGGAAGACCAAGGGUUCCUGUCCAACGUUAAUCGGGGCAGGGUGAGUCGACCCCUAAGGCGAGGCCGAAAGGCGUAGUCGAUGGGAAACAGGUUAAUAUUCCUGUACUUGGUGUUACUGCGAAGGGGGGACGGAGAAGGCUAUGUUGGCCGGGCGACGGUUGUCCCGGUUUAAGCGUGUAGGCUGGUUUUCCAGGCAAAUCCGGAAAAUCAAGGCUGAGGCGUGAUGACGAGGCACUACGGUGCUGAAGCAACAAAUGCCCUGCUUCCAGGAAAAGCCUCUAAGCAUCAGGUAACAUCAAAUCGUACCCCAAAC